Molecule: long non-coding RNA, 758 nt
Organism: Anneissia japonica
Lineage: Eukaryota; Metazoa; Echinodermata; Crinoidea; Comatulida; Comatulidae
Exons: 7
Source: RefSeq, a predicted model, not a curated record
UACAGAAUUUGAACAACCUCAAAUAUCAGCCACAAAGAAGCAAGACUCGUACUACACUGCAUAGAAAAUAAUCUAAAAAAACUCACCCAGUUUACACAUAUGCUACCUUGUUUUAUAGUACAAGGUAAUGUUAUAAUAUUAUGAUUAGAAUGUGUGGUUGAUAUCAUCUGCUACAGUACAAUGCGUGGUGGAUAUUUCUGCUAUAUUGUAAUGAACAUACAUUAUAAUAAUGUACUGAGAAAGUGUGGAACUGGUACCUGAGAAGAAAGGGAGCAAGUCAUUUGGAGGCAACAAACUAUUAAGAUUGAGAGCUGUGGCACGAUGUUUAAGAAACUUGGUUAUCAAUCCCAGGGUUGCUUACCUUCUAAUCCUGUAUCACCAGGAUUCUUUUUCUCAUGACCAUUCGACCUGUUUAAGUAUACGUUAAAUGUACUAGUGGUGGAUCCAGGAAUUUGAAAUAUAGGGUGCCCUGAGAAGGGCUUUCACAGAUGGAGGGUAUAUACUACCUCAGUCCCACCAUAGCUGGGGCUCAGGGGCCCCUGGGCCAACUGGGCCUCCUUUGAAUCUUCCACUGUGUGCAAUAGACUGAAAAGUUUUUUUUGAGAUGACCAAUGAGAAAUAUGAUAAAUAUGAUUGAUGACCAACUAGCUGAGAUAGUAUAUAAGGUCAAGCAUUGAUCUCAUGAUUUAUCACAAGUUUUAAGAAACAUUUAUACAAGUCCUCAGGGAACCACAGUACAUACAAGAAUAUCUACCAGA